RNAcentral lists this long non-coding RNA (974 nucleotides) under Rattus norvegicus (Norway rat). RNAcentral describes it as "long non-coding RNA NONRATT006921". The record is from RNAcentral. Lineage: Eukaryota; Metazoa; Chordata; Mammalia; Rodentia; Muridae.
GGGGACUUGGCCUUCAUCUACCCUGAUUGCCCCUCAUUUACCAAACCCUCCCUUGCCUCCUCACUCACUCUCAGCCUUAUCUACUUCCCUCCUGUUUGCUCAGAACUCCGGGUGUUGGGGUGCUGUGUGUUAGUCUCCCUGAGGAGACUGUUACCCAGGGCUUUCCUAACCCUGCCAGAAACCUGAUGGAACCAGGUAGCAAUAAGAAUUAGCCUGUGCCCCAACCAGGGAAGGAGUGGCCCCUUGAGGACCUGGGAGAGCAUCUCCUUGUCACUUGCUUAUUCAGACUCCUAAUAAUAGGGAAACAGAGACAGCAGUAAUCUCCUUCCAAUGACCCCACUGCCUGGUGAGGCCAGGGAAAGGCAGCUGGGUGGAAUCCAUAUGAUUGGCUUUGUGCUGGCCCUGGUGUCUUCUGCUCUGUUGACUGACAUCUGACAUGUGUUUGUCACCCUCAGAAUGCGGGGUUCGCUCAGUAAGACGUCAGAGCAGGAUUGUGGGUGGGUCGACCGCCUCACCAGGAGACUGGCCCUGGCAGGUCAGCCUGCACGUCCAAGGUAUCCAUGUCUGCGGAGGCUCCAUCAUCACCCCCGAGUGGAUUGUGACAGCCGCCCACUGUGUGGAAGAGUAUGCCUUCAUUCCGUGAAGUCUGGGGUAGUAGAGUGGGGUCACAUGGCCCAGACAUUUGGGGUUGGAAUAUGGCUCUUCUACCAUGUGACCCACACCAAGCAGUGUGGAAGCUCCGAUGCCUGUUGGGGUGACAGUGCUGUUUUAGAUGUCUCAAUGUCUCUUUGCCUGUUGCUACCACACAGGAAUACCCUCCUUUUCUUCCUCCCAGGCACUGCUGGGAAGUUAGGGAAGCUAUCUCUCCUGGGAGUCUACCUUCCUCCCUCAUACAUCCCAGAUUCUGAGGUUCCUCUGGUAGUUGAAGCUAAAAGUUAAAAACAAAAACAAAAACAAAACAACAACAACAAAAC